UACGGAGGGUGCGAGCGUUGUCCGGAAUUACUGGGCGUAAAGGGCGCGUAGGCGGACAGUUUAGUCAGAGGUGAAAGCCCAGGGCUCAACCUUGGAAUUGCCUUUGAUACUGGCUGUCUUGAGUUCGGGAGAGGUGAGUGGAAUGCCGAGUGUAGAGGUGAAAUUCGUAGAUAUUCGGCGGAACACCAGUGGCGAAGGCGACUCACUGGCCCGAUACUGACGCUGAGGCGCGUAAGCGUGGGGAGCAAACAGG
RNAcentral lists this ribosomal RNA (253 nucleotides) under uncultured bacterium. Its description in RNAcentral is "partial 16S ribosomal RNA". It matches the Rfam family "Bacterial small subunit ribosomal RNA", at positions 524 to 776 of the family's 1533-position model. The record is from RNAcentral.